Molecule: ribosomal RNA, 406 nt
Filed under: uncultured bacterium
Lineage: Bacteria
Description: partial 16S ribosomal RNA
Rfam family: Bacterial small subunit ribosomal RNA
Source: RNAcentral
AUUGAACGCUGGCGGCAGGCCUAACACAAGCAAGUCGAACGAGUGGCGGACGGGUGAGUAAUGUCUGGGAAACUGCCCGAUGGAGGGGGAUAACUACUGGAAACGGUAGCUAAUACCGCAUACCAUCGGAUGUGCCCAGAUGGGAUUAGCUAGUAGGUGGGGUAACGGCUCACCUAGGCGACGAUCCCUAGCUGGUCUGAGAGGAUGACCAACCACACUUGAAAUGCGACACUGUCCAGAAUCCUACGGGAGGCAGCAGUGGGGAAUAUUGCAAAAAUGGGAGUAGCCUUAUGCAGCCAUGACGCGUGUAUGAAGAAGGCCUUCGGGUUGUAAAGUACUUUCAGCGAGGAGGCGUUACUCGCAGAAGAAGCACCGGCUAACUCCGUGCCAGCAGCCGCGGUAAUAC